GCCAUUGUGCUGACAUCCCAGAGUCCAAAUAUCCUGCCAGAUGAAUUUUUACCACCAGCACUUGAAGUGGUCACAAAGUGAUAGAAGAUCAGAGACUGGUAUACAGAAAAACAGGCCCAUGUCCCCACAACUCUCCAUUUGAAAAAUACAUUUCGUAUUCCCUCUUUGUACAGUUCAGGGUACUUCUUUGAAAGGGAUGCACUGACAUCCUUGUCAAAAAGCCCAACCAUGAUCACUGGCAGUGCUGUAAAUAUGACAUUAUACAGUGACUGGAACCAAUCAUCAUAGAAUCUUUGACCCGAAAAGCCAGUAUGAAAAGUGAACCAAAAUUGGGUCAGAGUAAACGUAAGAUUCUUGUAAAAGAAAUAUGUGAUAACCUUGCAUAUUCUAAGAUAUGACCACCG
This 404-nucleotide unclassified non-coding RNA is filed under the name Hevea brasiliensis (rubber tree). The record is from RNAcentral. Lineage: Eukaryota; Viridiplantae; Streptophyta; Magnoliopsida; Malpighiales; Euphorbiaceae.